This 799-nucleotide ribosomal RNA is filed under the name Bacillus safensis. RNAcentral describes it as "bacterial SSU rRNA". It matches the Rfam family "Bacterial small subunit ribosomal RNA", at positions 74 to 856 of the family's 1533-position model. Lineage: Bacteria; Bacillati; Bacillota; Bacilli; Caryophanales; Bacillaceae. The record is from RNAcentral.
GGGAGCUUGCUCCCGGAUGUUAGCGGCGGACGGGUGAGUAACACGUGGGUAACCUGCCUGUAAGACUGGGAUAACUCCGGGAAACCGGAGCUAAUACCGGAUAGUUCCUUGAACCGCACGGUUCAAGGAUGAAAGACGGUUUCGGCUGUCACUUACAGAUGGACCCCCGGCGCAUUAGCUAUUUGGUGGGGUAAUGGCUCACCAAGGCGACGAUGCGUAGCCCACCUGAGAGGGUGAUCGGCCACACUGGGACUGAGACACGGCCCAAACUCCUACGGGGGGCAGCAGUAGGGAAUCUUCCGCAAUGGACAAAAGUCUGACGGAGCAACGCCCCGUGAGUGAUAAAGGUUUUCGGAUCGUAAAGCUCUGUUGUUAGGGAAAAACAAGUGCGAGAGUAACUGCUCGCACCUUGACGGUACCUAACCAGAAAGCCGCGGCUAACUACUUGCCACCACCCGCGGUAAUACGUAGGUGGCAAGCGUUGUCCGGAAUUAUUGGGCGUAAAGGGCUCGCAGGCGGUUUCUUAAUUCUGAUGUGAAAGCCCCCGGCUCAACCGGGGAGGGUCAUUGGAAACUGGGAAACUUGAGUGCAGAAGAGGAGAGUGGAAUUCCACGUGUAGCGGUGAAAUGCGUAGAGAUGUGGAGGAACACCACUGGCGAAGGCGACUCUCUGGUCUGUAACUGACGCUGAUGAGCGAAAGCGUGGGGAGCGAACAGGAUUAUAUACCCUGGUAGUCCACGCCGUAAACGAUGAGUGCUGAGUUGUUAGGGGGUUUCCGCCCCUUAGUGCUGCAGCUAAC